RNA transcript from Phycodurus eques (leafy seadragon), 6144 nucleotides. It is a transcript of the gene named MAP/microtubule affinity-regulating kinase 3a, with no coding region annotated. The record is from RefSeq and is a predicted model, not a curated record. NCBI's taxonomy places the organism in Eukaryota, Metazoa, Chordata, Actinopteri, Syngnathiformes, Syngnathidae. The transcript is spliced from 17 exons.
CCGCCGCGGAGUUGUUCGGAGCCAUUUUGGUCCCACCUCAAUCUCACCGACAUGGACCGAACCGAGCCCGCGCCGAGGCUUCAUUCCGGCGAGCCCCUUUGAAACGCCACGUGACCACUUCGGAGGCCAGGCUUCGUCGUUGCUAGGCGGACUCGAGGGCGAAAAAAAGACCGGCCUGAUAUCUAUCUAUCUAUCUAUCUAUUAUUAUUAUUUGUAUUUUUUGGGGGCGCGGGGGGUGGGCUGUGGCGGCCGAACAGCUUCGCCCCAAAGGGACCCAGGCCGACUCUCAACAGCGAGGACUUGUUGUUUGUGUCGUCGUCGGGCUCCCCCCCCCUCGGUCGGACAUCCAUGCGACCGUGCCCCUCUUCCGCCGCCGCCGCGGGAUUGAACGUGGUGUCACCGGACUGCGGGCCGCUUCCCCUCGCCUGAAACAUGUCAAGCAAAACCCCUUUGCCCACCGUCAACGAGAAGGCGAGCGAAAGUCGCACGUCUUCUCACGGCAACGGCCGGCAGGAAGUCGGCAGCUCGCGCUCGUCUCGCUCCGGCGUGCGUUCGCGCAGCUCCGAGGAGCCUCAGCAGCCGCACGUGGGGAACUACCGGCUGCUCAAGACCAUCGGCAAGGGCAACUUCGCCAAGGUCAAGCUGGCCCGACACAUCCUCACCGGCAGAGAGGUAGCCAUUAAAAUCAUAGACAAGACACAGCUGAACCCCAACAGCCUUCAGAAGCUCUUCAGAGAAGUGAGAAUAAUGAAGAUCUUGAAUCAUCCCAACGUUGUUAAGCUGUUUGAGGUGAUUGAGACGGAGAGGACGCUCUACCUGGUCAUGGAGUACGCCAGCGGAGGAGAGGUCUUUGACUACCUGGUAGCACAUGGAAGAAUGAAGGAAAAAGAGGCCAGAGCUAAAUUUAGACAGAUUGUAUCAGCGGUGCAGUACUGCCACCAGAAGCACAUCGUCCACAGAGACCUCAAGGCGGAGAACCUGCUGCUGGACGGCGACAUGAACAUCAAGAUCGCCGACUUCGGCUUCAGCAACGAGUUCACGCUGGGCAACAAGCUGGACACCUUCUGCGGCUCGCCGCCCUACGCCGCGCCCGAGCUCUUCCAGGGCAAGAAGUACGACGGGCCCGAGGUGGACGUCUGGAGUCUGGGCGUCAUCCUCUACACGCUCGUCAGCGGGUCGCUGCCCUUUGACGGCCAGAACCUCAAGGAGCUUCGCGAGCGCGUGCUGCGAGGGAAGUACCGCAUCCCCUUCUACAUGUCCACGGACUGCGAGAACCUCCUGAAGCGAUUCCUGGUGCUCAACCCGGCCAAGCGCGGUACUCUCGAGGUGAGAGAGGACACCCAAAACCAAAUCAUGAAGGAUCGAUGGAUCAACGCGGGAUACGAAGACGACGAGCUGAAGCCUUACGUUGAGCCUGAGCUGGACAUCACGGAUCAGAAGAGAAUAGACGUGAUGGUGGGCAUGGGCUACAACUUGGACGAGAUUCAGGAGUCCCUGGCCAAGACCAAGUACGACGAGAUCACCGCCACCUACCUGCUGCUGGGCAGGAAGGCCUCGGAGCCGGAGCCCGGCGAGUCGGCGUCCGGCAGCGACUUGUCGCUCACCAAGCCCAGACCCAACAGCGAGCUCAACGGACAGUCGCCCUCGCACCUGAAAGUCCAGAGGAGCGUGUCGUCCAACCACAAGCAGCGACGCUACAGUGAGCAAGCGGGCCAGAACGCGGGCGCGGCCCACCCCAAGCGCAGUCAGACCGCCGCCGUCGACGACGGGAAGGACGACGGCGGCGUCCAGCUGCGCAAAUCCGGAGCGCCGGGAAGCCGCGGCGCUGCGCCCGCCAGCCCGUUGCUGGGCAACGCCAACAACCCAAACAAGGCCGACAUACCCGACCGCAGGAAAGGCGGCGUCGCCGCCGGACAGACUCAGAACAGCACGGCGUCUGCUGGGAUGACGCGCCGGAACACGUACGUGUGCAGCGAGCGGAACAACGCCGACCGCCUCUCCGUCAUCCCCAACGGGAAGGAGAACAGCGCGGCGGCGUCUCCGGGCGGCCAGCGUAAGUCGGUGGCGUCGGCGCACAGCGUGGCCAACGCGGCCACGCCGGAACGCCUGCGCUUCCCCCGCGGCACGGCCAGCCGCAGCACCUUCCACGGCGGGCAGCUGCGCGACCGCCGCACGGCCACCUACAACGGACCGCCCGCCUCGCCCGCCCUCUCGCACGACGCCUCGCCGCUCUCGCAGGCGCGCGGCCGCGCCGCCAGCAACCUCUUUUCCAAGCUCACCUCCAAGCUCACGCGCAGAAACAUGUCGUUCAGGUUUACCAAAAGGUAGGACCGGUACUGCCUGCGCUGUCGCACGCCGCUAACACGCCGCCCGCACGCUACAUGUUAGCCUCACACAGCUGGCUUCUCGCCGUCUUGCAGGGAAUUGCACAGAAAGUUGCAUUUGCGACUUUUUCUGGCAACUGAAUGUUUUUGGGCUGGAUUUACCCUGCAUGUGUAAUCUGAUAUAAAGUGGACGGCUCCCCGCAUACUUGUCGGAUUUUUAUUUAAAAAAAAUUUUUUUUUCAUUUCUAAUUUAUAUAUACACUUUGGGGGAGGAACCAACCGCAAAAAUACCUCGUGGUGGUUUAUCUUCGCUUCUUCCAGAUUUUGUGGGGGGUUACCAAAAAAAAAAAGUUUUGUUCUGGUAUGUGUCCAAAUGUUGACCACCAAAAAGUAACACCUUAGUUUCAUUAUUCUGCUACAUGAUUGUUAUGGCACUUCACCCAAAUAUGAUAAGUUUGAGGUACAUGAAAUAUGGUGUAUAUAUGCGAAAUUACAGUUGUCAAACAUUUAUCAGGGUCGGAAAUAUCCGGUAUCGCAUCGUCAAAUGCGACGUAAAAUCUUCGGCGUUGCAUUCCUCAAUUCCCAUGGCUACAAUAUGCGAUGCAUGUUUCGAAAGUUUACAGACAAAUAAAACCUUUUUCUGAGCGGUCAGCAGCCCUCAAAACAAAGAUGGGACCGACAAAAAGAGCAUGGCUUGCUAACAGAAAUGACAACUGCACGGCAGGCAGAGGUAAACGGCUACGCGAUCGCCGAUUGGUCAAAGGCGGAGCUGUCAAAUGUUAGGGAACGUCCGCAUUUUGUGACUUGAUCGUUCCGGCCGUAAAGCCGAGUACAAAUUUCUUAAAUGAAUUUGAUGAAAUAAGCACUCUAUUUCAAAAACAGCGCGUCCACAUUGAGCAGUGCCCCCCCCCCCCGCUUUCCGCCGCUGAGUGCUCCGUGCACGGCGUUUUACGACGGCCCCCGGCUGCCGAGCCUCGCAGGCGGAAGCUCUCUUUGCGGCCGGUGUCAAGCAACGCAUUACAAGUCAGCGGUCGUCGCCAUCGGCGAGGGAGGACGAGGGGGAAGGGAGCCAACUGUCCGGCCCCUUCGCGGCCCGCCAGGAUAAUCGGAAACCAGACUCACGAACAAUACGCAGGCUUGCUACAAAAGGAUUUCUGCUUACCCGCAAGGCAAAAUCGCUUUCUGUACACAACAUUACUUAUUCAAAAGAUCAAAGUAUGCCAUAUAUGGAGUAAAGUGUUUUAAAAUUUAGGGUAGAAAAGCAUACAAGUAGACAGGGAUUUAGUACUUUGUGGAACUUUUAUACAAAUUAUUGCCCAAAACGAAAACAUGUUUCGAAAACUUGCUACACAAAUUUCAGCAAUUGUGAUACAAAAAUAAUUUUGUAUAGCAAAAACAUGCUAUACAACAUUUUAGAGUAUUUCGGGUCCUGUUUAUUGUAAAUAUAUGGAAUUCGAGGUCUAUAGACGGGUAACAUAUUUACAUCUUAUUUCAUGUUCUAUACACCUUUAGUGUACCGUUUUUUUUUUUUGUCGUUAUCAAACAUCUUUUUUUUUUAACGUACAAAAUUGCUGUAUUCCUUUAAUUUUGUGAUACAUUUUCACAAAAUGACAUCCAUAGGCUUUGAAUUUAGUUUUUUUUUUUAAAAAACAUUUUAAACUACAAAAUUGUUUUUCGGACAAAAAAAAGUGGAUGUACAUGAUCUUGCGUGUGCCACUAAUGUCGCACCGGUCGGUGCAUGCGGGCAGGGGGCGCAACCUACUGGCACUGGCAUGCUUGUUGUUUCUUCUCCAAGUAGCCGCUGACCCCGGUUGAACGUUUGCACUGCAUCGUGACCCGUCGUUGAAAAACAAAAAUGUCAAAAAUUCCCAAGCCGUGAGCUAGGAAGAUGGUUGUUGUAUGUUGCCAUGGUGACAGGUUGUUACAACCACGGAGAGCUGACAAUCUGCUUGAAAAAAAAAGAGGAGGAAUAAUCUCAAUCGGGUUGGUUUCCAAAAGUCAUCUUUGGCCGUGCUCGGCCCCCCGGUGGCCAAGUGGAGUACAAGCUUAAUGUUUUCACCUCUUCGAUUUUGUGGUAUUUACACAAACACAAGUAGGAAUGAGUGAUAUAAACAAAUGUUUUACAAUUUGAAUUCAUUUUUUUGUUCUGCUAUUUGCUUGAGCAAUUUUUUUCUCUUUUCAGAUGAUGCGAAAACAAGUGCUUCCUCUUGGAAAAGAAAUGUAGUCAGUAAUGAAUGAACACUUCAAAUGUUCAACAAUUCAGCACAACAGAUGUUUACGGCCAAUCAAAAUAUAUCACACGAUCUUGCGCAACAAAAAUAACUUUAAAAUUAAACCGUUUGUGCAUCCUGAUGAUCCUGUGUGUGUGUGCCUUGGCCAACAGGGCGCAGUAUAACACAUGCAUAAUAAAUACACAAAGUCGGCGGUCACAGCACCUCAGUAAACUGCAGUAAAAUAGGUUAUUUUCUGCAGAGAAUAAAGAAUAUACGCCUGUAUUAUAUUGUCUGUAUACCUGUGUUGCUGCACCGUUUGUGUACUGUACUGCGACAUUGACGCUAGUUUUGUUGGGUCGUCUAUGGCGUUUUGCAUUGUGUGUUAGCAUUUAGCUAGCAGGCUUCGGUAACGCAAAGUUGCUCGUUAUCUGCCACCGUCGAGCGCUGGCGACUCGAGGCAAAACGUCCUAUCGACCUCUGACCUCCCCUCGCCGGGGUCACUGUUGACCCAUCUGAGCGGCAGGAAGCAGCCUCCUGGGCCCGGCUCGCGUCCGUCGUUUCCCCGCCUUCGUCCCGACGCCCGCCCGCGGAUUCGGUGGCGUUUUGCCGUCUUUUCCCGUCGGGAUCCAUCUGCGAGCGCUCGUAGCUUGCUCCUAUGCUAGCCUGCUCACGCUGCUAGCGGAAAAUGAAAAUGGGUUAGCUCAAGAGGUUUAAAAGAGAAAUGGUCAUGUCUUUGUAAAACACGUACAAUUGUUUAUACAUGCUGCCAGUCAUCAGAUCAUGUUAUGCUAAUAAUAAAUAUCAUUAUUUUAAAUUGACAUUCUUUUACAAUACAUCCAUUAUAGAAGUUUUUAAUUGUAUGUAUGUAUGAUGUACUCAACCUUAAUUAACCAGUAAUUUAAUGAAUUAAAUAUUUCAAUGUAUAUGUCAAAUUAUUUAUUCCCUAAUAAUAAAUCAUAAUGAAUUUAAUUUAGAGAAAAUUCUUUUGAUUUUCAUUUACUCGUACGUAACUCCAAGAAUGUAGUUUUUUUGUAUUCGUAGUAUAUCAAUGUUUGUUUUAAUACAAUUGUUUAAACUCAUUUAAUCAUCAUUAAGUCACCAAUUAGUUACUAAAAUGACAUUUUGAAAUAUCUACGUUUAGUUUUUUGCGAAUUUACUUCAAAUGUCCUUGAUAAUAAGUGGGUAACUGUAACGUUGUUGAUUUGGGGCUGGAAUGUCGCGUGUACGUGUGCCGACUGAAGAGAAGCGUUGUGUUUUUGCUGUCAACCUUCCAAAACGGGCGCCGACGUUCGGCCGCCGGUCGCAGCUCAGCGGAAAAGCGGGACGACUCGCUUGUCGAUAUUUGCGCAUUUGUCUCGGUCGUCGUGCCGAUUCUUCGCCUUGUCGUCGUCGUCGUCGUUGUUGUUGUUGUUAUGGUGAUGAACACGAGGACGCACAAUCCACAUCCUCUUCUUCUUGUUUUUGUCUUCUUCCUCCUCUUCCCCGUUUUCUUCUCUCGCGUCCCUCAGAGUCUCCACAGAGUUUGAGAGAAACGGGAGACUCGAGGGCUCAAGCCGCCACGUCCCCGGGGAGCCCAAGGACGGCAAGCCCCGCUCGCUGCGCUUCAC